GGGUGUGGCUCAGUGGCAGAGUGCUCACCUAACAUGUAUAAGGCCCUGGGUUCAAUCCUCAGCACCUCA
RNAcentral lists this transfer RNA (69 nucleotides) under Marmota monax (woodchuck). RNAcentral describes it as "tRNA.Val". Lineage: Eukaryota; Metazoa; Chordata; Mammalia; Rodentia; Sciuridae. The record is from RNAcentral.